CCUUUUCGAAAAUACUUUAUCUUCUGAUUUUAAGUACUAAUCAAUUAUUACUAUUUUUCUUAUGUCUCAUUAUUCUGAUGAAACCCUAGCCUUAUGGUUUAUAUUUAUACUAUUUUGUCGUGUUUGCUUGUCUGUGUGUUCUCUUGGAUUUUUCUCUGAGUUCUGUACUCUUUGCUUUAAUUUUGUUGCUCGUGUUUCCAUCCCCUACUAUUCUGUGUUCUUUUCUUAGGAUUCUCUCUGAUAUUGUUCAAUAUGAGUUAUGUAUCAUUUGCUAAACUUGACUAUUCGUCC
Molecule: long non-coding RNA, 291 nt
Filed under: Nicotiana benthamiana
Lineage: Eukaryota; Viridiplantae; Streptophyta; Magnoliopsida; Solanales; Solanaceae
Description: long non-coding RNA (NBEN_LNC011218)
Source: RNAcentral